Daphnia pulex (common water flea) is the source of this 2773-nucleotide long non-coding RNA. RefSeq lists it as uncharacterized. The transcript has 2 exons. The record is from RefSeq and is a predicted model, not a curated record. Lineage: Eukaryota; Metazoa; Arthropoda; Branchiopoda; Diplostraca; Daphniidae.
CUCCAGCACUUCUCUCGCGGCCAUGGGAGGAUGUAGGAUACCUCCAGCGUGAAUCGAGCUAGCGGGAGAUCCUCGCGGCUAAAGAGCGGAGCCCACGCUGCCAAGUAAGAUUGUAUUUUUCCCGUUUGCUUUUUUUACCAUGCUAAAAAGUACCGGCGCAACUUCGUAAUAAUUAUCAUCUUGUGCGCGACCAACCUGCCUUUUUCUGUCAACAGGUGAAUUCAUGACGCAACAUGCCUCUUUUGGCUCAGAGCCAGUGUGAAUCGGCCACUGCACAGAGUGCAGCCACUCAAAAUAUAAAUAUAUAAAAUAUUAAAUUUUUAGAUAGCUUCAGUUGGAAAUACAAAAUGGUGGCAAAAAUUUUUAACACAGAAAAUAGAUUUUUUGUUUGUUUCUAAGAUGUUGAUGUUUUUGUUGUCAGGGAGGACAGAAUGUUGUUUGUAUUAUUUACUUAUGUGGCAACCCCGCCUCGAGCUUCCCACCCACGACUACGGUAGGAAAAAAAAAGAAGACUGGGGAGGUGGGGAAAGAUCGAGAGAGAUUUCACGCGUGAGGGAUGCAAAUUUCAGUAUGUGCGUUAUUUUAGAGAAUAUUGGGUGAAGAAGUGUUUCUCCAUUUCAAUUCCAUCUUAUUCCUUAUUCUUUAGUUUUUCAUAAAAUUAGCUUAUGGAUCAUCAGCUGGCCGUUGCCUUUUUCUGAAAUCAAACAAGAAGAAAUCGGGAAAUGAGGUCAAACUGUUCGAGGAUUUAACAAUAUAAUCACCAUUUUCGUAGUAACCAAACUAAAUAAAAUUAAUUGAAGCAGAAUUUGGUCAAAAAUAUUAAUCAACUAUGUUGAUUAGUUUUAUCAGAUAAUCACAAAAAGUCAUUUAUUUAAUAAUCAAUUUCAAAAUUUAUGGCUAAACUUUGUUUAUUGACAAUAAAAAUUUAUUGAAAAUUUAACAAAAGUUUUCCAUUGUCAAAGUUGUACAAUAUUAAGUUCAUUUACAUUACACAUCUUAUCCUUUCCACUUCAAAAAAUGUGAUCUGAUUCUUGAUCUGGUUUUCCUACCUUUUUUUAUGCUGUGGGAGUAGGACCUAUCAAAAGCUAAUCAAAGAUAGAAUAAAUAUAAAAUUGAGAUUAAUAUUAGAGCGAACAGCUCUGACCAUUACAUACGACACAAGCACAAUCCAAAAUGAAAAAAGUUGUAGAAAUCAAUUGUAUUUAAAGAAUGGGACACAUGCGAGCAAUCAAACACAUAUUACUAUUUACUUCACAACAGCUGGCUGCAGGGGAGAAAAAUGUGGGAAACAAUGUGGGGUAACUCGAGGUUCAAUAAGUCUCUCAAAAUUCUCUAUGGUCCUAAACCAAUCUAGACCGUUAUCUGUUCACAGGCUGACGUCUCCUGUAAUCGUCAGAGUGUAAUUUUUCCGCGAGAAAACUGCUUUACAAAACAAAUUACGUAUCGCAUGUAUGUUCUCACUGACCUGAAUUAUGCUGGGAGCGUGUAGGCUCCUGGUCCUUGACAAAAUCCGGCAAAGCUAAUCGCUCAUUAUUCUAAGGCUCCAGAAACAAAUGUGUAUUUCGAGAACCUUACUGAAAUCUAAAAAUAUAACUGUGACGUUUGGCGGCAGGACGGCUUCUACCGCUACCCUACAUCACUGAGUAGUUCCCACCAUGAAGAGGUCACCUUUAAAGUUACGGAUGAAAAUGAGACAGGGCCCACUUUAGGCAUCUGGAGAGGCGGUGCAGUGUGUGCGGCCAAGUGAGCGGCCCUUAACAACUGGCGAAUGGCAUUUUCAUCGCCUACUUACUGGAGAAACAUCAAAUUAGGCGAUUCCAAGUGGUAUACUCUGACACGAGUACGAUCAUCCCAAGCAGUCGGUGCCUCGAAGAUUGCCAUGGUGUUAGCGUACACCACGUCGUAGUUACAUUGCAUGAGAUAUUAAGCGGUGUAGUCCGAUUGAGAGCUAGUGUGCAACGUUGGUCUAGAAUUUUCGUAUAAGUUGGCCACCCCGAGUCGUUAGAGUUGCCCGACAACGUCGAGAGGAAACCGUCCCAGCAACCAAGAUGACACGAUGUCUCGUGGGAGGACAGUCGAAAACUUCCUCCCACAUAGGUUCGACUGCCGAUGGAAACGACACAGCUUCCAUAUAGUCGAAAGUGACCGUCACCGUGGCGGCGUCGUCAGACUCGCUGUCAGACUCUUGGAACCGCAUAAUCAACUGGUCCAAGUAAACGUCUCCGUAAACCGAAUCUUUUGAUCCAAGAUGGAAAACUGGCUGCUCGUGGGCCAGCAGCCACUUGCAGUGUCUCGCUAGACAAAGUACUAUCGUUUUUAAUGUUGACCUCGUCCGGGAAACCGGGUCUUGCACCCAAGACAUGUCAUGCAAUUGUUGCACAACAAUCUCUUCCUGGUUUCACAAAUUCCUCAGUAGGCCUGCAGGGUGGCUAAAACAAUGAAUGAACAAAAAAAUAUUAAUAUUGCUUUGGCUAUUGAAUAUCCACUAAACUGGGAAAACUCAGAUGCGCUACCAUUGGUUCCACGUAUUCAAACUUUGACAACACACUCCAAAGAAAUCUUUUAUAAAAUAAAAAUUGUACAGUUAUUGCAGGCAAAAUACGAUUCAUAAAACGUUAAAAGAUGCGUGUGACUAACAUUACCAAUAAUGGAAAUAACUCCAUCGAAGUGGAAAUGGCGGUGUAGAGAACUAGUAUGCGAAUAUGGAUAUAGAAGUCCACCACAUCACAAUGGAUUACACUGUUUCACACCGUCUAAGGAAAAAUGAAAUUUA